Molecule: transfer RNA, 87 nt
Filed under: Escherichia coli
Lineage: Bacteria; Pseudomonadati; Pseudomonadota; Gammaproteobacteria; Enterobacterales; Enterobacteriaceae
Description: tRNA-Tyr
Rfam family: tRNA
About the family: Transfer RNA (tRNA) molecules are approximately 80 nucleotides in length.
Source: RNAcentral
GGUGGGGUUCCCGAGCGCGGCCAAAGGGAGCAGACUGUAAAUCUGCCGUCAUCGACUUCGAAGGUUCGAAUCCUUCCCCCACCACCA